Molecule: ribosomal RNA, 492 nt
Filed under: uncultured bacterium
Lineage: Bacteria
Description: partial 16S ribosomal RNA
Rfam family: Bacterial small subunit ribosomal RNA
Source: RNAcentral
AGUGAACGCUGGCGGUAGGCCUAACACAUGCGAGUCGAACGGCAGCACAGUAAGAGCUUGCUCUUACGGGUGGCGAGUGGCGGACGGGUGAGGAAUACAUCGGAAUCUACUUUUUCGUGGGGGAUAACGUAGGGAAACUUACGCUAAUACCGCAUACGACCUACGGGCGAAAGCAGGGGAUCUUCGGACCUUGCGCGAUUGAAUGAGCCGAUGUCGGAUUAGCUAGUUGGCGGGGUAAAGGCCCACCAAGGCGACGAUCCGUAGCUGGUCUGAGAGGAUGAUCAGCCACACUGGAACUGAGACACGGUCCAGACUCCUACGGGAGGCAGCAGUGGGGAAUAUUGGACAAUGGGCGCAAGCCUGAUCCAGCCAUACCGCGUGGGUGAAGAAGGCCUUCGGGUUGUAAAGCCCUUUUGUUGGGAAAGAAAAGCAGCAGGUUAAUACCCCGCUGUUCUGACGGUACCCAAAGAAUAAGCACCGGCUAACUUCGUG